AGAGUUUGAUCCUGGCUCAGGACGAACGCUGGCGGCGUGCCUAAUACAUGCAAGUAGAACGCUGAAGAGAGGAGCUUGCUCUUCUUGGAUGAGUUGCGAACGGGUGAGUAACGCGUAGGUAACCUGCCUUGUAGCGGGGGAUAACUAUUGGAAACGAUAGCUAAUACCGCAUAACAAUGGAUGACACAUGUCAUUUAUUUGAAAGGGGCAAUUGCUCCACUACAAGAUGGACCUGCGUUGUAUUAGCUAGUAGGUGAGGUAAUGGCUCACCUAGGCGACGAUACAUAGCCGACCUGAGAGGGUGAUCGGCCACACUGGGACUGAGACACGGCCCAGACUCCUACGGGAGGCAGCAGUAGGGAAUCUUCGGCAAUGGGGGCAACCCUGACCGAGCAACGCCGCGUGAGUGAAGAAGGUUUUCGGAUCGUAAAGCUCUGUUGUAAGUCAAGAACGGGUGUGAGAGUGGAAAGUUCACACUGUGACGGUAGCUUACCAGAAAGGGACGGCUAACUACGUGCCAGCAGCCGCGGUAAUACGUAGGUCCCGAGCGUUGUCCGGAUUUAUUGGGCGUAAAGCGAGCGCAGGCGGUUUGAUAAGUCUGAAGUUAAAGGCUGUGGCUCAACCAUAGUUCGCUUUGGAAACUGUCAAACUUGAGUGCAGAAGGGGAGAGUGGAAUUCCAUGUGUAGCGGUGAAAUGCGUAGAUAUAUGGAGGAACACCGGUGGCGAAAGCGGCUCUCUGGUCUGUAACUGACGCUGAGGCUCGAAAGCGUGGGGAGCGAACAGGAUUAGAUACCCUGGUAGUCCACGCCGUAAACGAUGAGUGCUAGGUGUUGGAUCCUUUCCGGGAUUCAGUGCCGCAGCUAACGCAUUAAGCACUCCGCCUGGGGAGUACGACCGCAAGGUUGAAACUCAA
This 914-nucleotide ribosomal RNA is filed under the name human gut metagenome. RNAcentral describes it as "bacterial SSU rRNA". It matches the Rfam family "Bacterial small subunit ribosomal RNA", at positions 8 to 904 of the family's 1533-position model. The record is from RNAcentral.